RNAcentral lists this ribosomal RNA (681 nucleotides) under Bacillus sp. V29. RNAcentral describes it as "bacterial SSU rRNA". It matches the Rfam family "Bacterial small subunit ribosomal RNA", at positions 56 to 718 of the family's 1533-position model. The record is from RNAcentral. Lineage: Bacteria; Bacillati; Bacillota; Bacilli; Caryophanales; Bacillaceae.
UGCAGUCGAGCGAAUGGAUUAAGAGCUUGCUCUUAUGAAGUUAGCGGCGGACGGGUGAGUAACACGUGGGUAACCUGCCCAUAAGACUGGGAUAACUCCGGGAAACCGGGGCUAAUACCGGAUAACAUUUUGAACCGCAUGGUUCGAAAUUGAAAGGCGGCUUCGGCUGUCACUUAUGGAUGGACCCGCGUCGCAUUAGCUAGUUGGUGAGGUAACGGCUCACCAAGGCAACGAUGCGUAGCCGACCUGAGAGGGUGAUCGGCCACACUGGGACUGAGACACGGCCCAGACUCCUACGGGAGGCAGCAGUAGGGAAUCUUCCGCAAUGGACGAAAGUCUGACGGAGCAACGCCGCGUGAGUGAUGAAGGCUUUCGGGUCGUAAAACUCUGUUGUUAGGGAAGAACAAGUGCUAGUUGAAUAAGCUGGCACCUUGACGGUACCUAACCAGAAAGCCACGGCUAACUACGUGCCAGCAGCCGCGGUAAUACGUAGGUGGCAAGCGUUAUCCGGAAUUAUUGGGCGUAAAGCGCGCGCAGGUGGUUUCUUAAGUCUGAUGUGAAAGCCCACGGCUCAACCGUGGAGGGUCAUUGGAAACUGGGAGACUUGAGUGCAGAAGAGGAAAGUGGAAUUCCAUGUGUAGCGGUGAAAUGCGUACAGAUAUGGAGGAACACCAGUGGCGA